Molecule: ribosomal RNA, 759 nt
Filed under: uncultured Stenotrophomonas sp.
Lineage: Bacteria; Pseudomonadati; Pseudomonadota; Gammaproteobacteria; Lysobacterales; Lysobacteraceae
Description: bacterial SSU rRNA
Rfam family: Bacterial small subunit ribosomal RNA
Source: RNAcentral
AGUGAACGCUGGCGGUAGGCCUAACACAUGCAAGUCGAACGGCAGCACAGUAAGAGCUUGCUCUUACGGGUGGCGAGUGGCGGACGGGUGAGGAAUACAUCGGAAUCUACUUUUUCGUGGGGGAUAACGUAGGGAAACUUACGCUAAUACCGCAUACGACCUACGGGUGAAAGCAGGGGAUCUUCGGACCUUGCGCGAUUGAAUGAGCCGAUGUCGGAUUAGCUAGUUGGCGGGGUAAAGGCCCACCAAGGCGACGAUCCGUAGCUGGUCUGAGAGGAUGAUCAGCCACACUGGAACUGAGACACGGUCCAGACUCCUACGGGAGGCAGCAGUGGGGAAUAUUGGACAAUGGGCGCAAGCCUAAUCCAGCCAUACCGCGUGGGUGAAGAAGGCCUUCGGGUUGUAAAGCCCUUUUGUUGGGAAAGAAAUCCAGCCGGCUAAUACCUGGUUGGGAUGACGGUACCCAAAGAAUAAGCACCGGCUAACUUCGUGCCAGCAGCCGCGGUAAUACGAAGGGUGCAAGCGUUACUCGGAAUUACUGGGCGUAAAGCGUGCGUAGGUGGUCGUUUAAGUCUGUUGUGAAAGCCCUGGGCUCAACCUGGGAACUGCAGUGGAAACUGGACGACUAGAGUGUGGUAGAGGGUAGCGGAAUUCCUGGUGUAGCAGUGAAAUGCGUAGAGAUCAGGAGGAACAUCCAUGGCGAAGGCAGCUACCUGGACCAACACUGACACUGAGGCACGAAAGCGUGGGGAGCAAACA